RNAcentral lists this transfer RNA (71 nucleotides) under Loxodonta africana (African savanna elephant). It matches the Rfam family "tRNA". Rfam says of the family: Transfer RNA (tRNA) molecules are approximately 80 nucleotides in length. Their secondary structure includes four short double-helical elements and three loops (D, anti-codon, and T loops). The record is from Rfam by way of RNAcentral. Lineage: Eukaryota; Metazoa; Chordata; Mammalia; Proboscidea; Elephantidae.
ACGUUGAUGAUUUGGUGGCAGAGUUCUUGCCUUCCAUGUGAGAGACUCAGGUUUGAUUCCUGGUCAACAUA